This is a non-coding RNA of Thamnophis sirtalis, 1158 nucleotides long. The record is from RefSeq and is a predicted model, not a curated record. NCBI's taxonomy places the organism in Eukaryota, Metazoa, Chordata, Lepidosauria, Squamata, Natricidae.
AAACUAUCUACUGGACGCAGAGAUGAAUAUGAUUCUCUGGCAGUAAAAAAACCAGAUUCAGAUCUUGAAAUGGCUGUGGAUAAGCAGCGCAGAAGAAAGAAACCUCAGGACAAAGUUUACACUUCCCUACAGCGGGAUAAGAUGGGUGAAGCAUAUAGUGAAAUUGGAAAGAAAGGAGAGAAACUUGGUGGCAAAGGCAAUGAUAUUCUUUAUCAGGGGCUCAGUCAAGCAACGAAGGACACAUACAAUGUCCUUCAAAUGAAGCAGUUGCAUUCUCCUCGUUAGUUACAACUGAACCUAAAAAGGAAGAAGAAAAAGAACAUCCCUUAUGGUGGAAUGGUAGCAAUUAAAGAGGACAGUUCAUUUCAGCAAAUCCAUUGCCUUGUUUGAAUAAUGCUUUUGUACAGUCAGCAAAACCAUUUCAUUUCCAAAUAACAUCCUAGGUUUUUUUUAAUGUACAUAAGUUUAAAGAUUCUGCUUAAUGUAUAGUUGCUCAUAUUUAGGAGCAGAAGUUGUGAUUGCUAUUUUAUUGGAUAGUUAAAUAACAAAAAUAUUUUCCUUCCUUAGAUGAAAGGCAAAAUAUUUUCUUUUUCUAUAGAUGUUUUUAAUUGAAGAUAGCUGGGGAACUAUUGGGGUGGGGUGGGGGGAGAAUAUACUCUGUAACCUUUCAUCACUUUCCAGGAAUUUGGAUUACUGUACAAUCUAUCAAUCAUAUCAGCAGGGCUGGUGAUAAAGGAAUGCAAAAAUAGUCAUUUUUUAAAAUUGAUUACUCUCAAAUCAUUAAAUAGUUCAGUACUUAACUGAAGGUAGAUAUCUUUUAUAUUGAAGAUUAGAAUAAAAAAGAAAUUUGUUCAGAUGGUACUUUGAAUUUCAGUGUAUGAGAAAACUGAAAGUUCUGUUCACAAGCUUGGAUAAUUUCCUCACAAAAUGUAAUUUUCUUUAGCAUCAAAAAGCUAACAGCUGUUACUAUUUGAUUUGAAUGAUGCUUGUAAGCAAAAUACAAAACACCCUCAAAAAAACAAAAAAACUGGACACAGAAAUAUGAGUAUAUUUAAUAAAGCAACCAAAACUAGUUUUGGUUUAGAAUUACUUCAUCAAAGAACAAAAGUCUUACUUUUGAAUAGUAUUCAUAACAAUAGUCUUGUGCUAUGAAGAAGU